CGCCUCCCAGCGCCUCGCCGACCUCCUCCCAACGCACCUCCCCCUCGUUCUCAAGAUCUGCAGGAUUUUCCAAGAUGGACAAAGCAAAUUGGGAUGCAUAUCAUACUAAAAUAUUUUGUGAGAUAUGCAAAGAAGAGACGGAGAAGCACAAUAGGCCGGGUGGUUAUUUGAGUCCCAAAGGUUACAACAAUCUCGAGGAGAAAUUUUUUGAACUAACUAAGAAAAGACGCACAAGAAGGCAAUUCAAAAACAAAUGGGACCAAUUGAAGAAAGAAUAUGCUCGGUUUAUGGAGUUAAAGAAUUCUGCAACUGGACUUGGUUGGAAUGAUAAGAUGGGAACAAUUGAAGCUGAUGAUAGUUGGUGGGACAUUCAUCUUAAGGACAUGCAAAGUGGCGGUACAUGGGCCCUCCCAACUUGAAGGAGAUGGAUGUUAUGUUUGAGAAUGCUCAUGUCACCGGGGAAACAGCCUCCAUUCCAGGAGAGAUAUCCAGUAGCUCGGAUGAUGAUGCCAUUGCGGAGGUAAAAGAGAGUGAAGAUUUGGGAACUCCU
Long non-coding RNA from Hordeum vulgare subsp. vulgare (domesticated barley), 550 nucleotides. RefSeq lists it as uncharacterized. The record is from RefSeq and is a predicted model, not a curated record. The transcript has 3 exons. Lineage: Eukaryota; Viridiplantae; Streptophyta; Magnoliopsida; Poales; Poaceae.